ACGGCCGCAAGGCUAAAACUCAAAGAAAUUGACGGGGGCCCGCACAAGCGGAGGAGCAUGUGGCUCAAUUCGAUGCAACGCGAAGAACCUUACCAGGGCUUGACAUGCAGCUGCACGUCCGGUGAAAGUCGGAUUCCUUCGAGGGUGCUGCACAGGUGUUGCAUGGCUGCCGUCAGUUCGUGCCGUGAGGUGUUGGGUUAAGUCCCGCAACGAACGCAACCCCUGUGUUUAGUUGCCACCGACGGUGAUGAGCCGUCGAGCACUCUAGACAGACUGCCCGUACAAGCGGGAGGAAGGUGGGGACGACGUCAAGUCAGUAUGACCCUUACGCCCUGGGCUGCACACGUGCUACAAUGGUCGGUACAAUAGGAAGCAAUACCGUGAGGUGGAGCAAAUCCCCAAAACCGGCCCCAGUUCGGAUUGGAGUCUGCAACUCGACUCCAUGAAGUCGGAUUCGCUAGUAACGGCGUAUCAGCUACGACGCCGUGAAUACGUUCCCGGGCCUUGUACACACCGCCCGUCACAUCAUGAAAGCCGUCUGCACCCGAAGUCGCUGA
This 557-nucleotide ribosomal RNA is filed under the name uncultured Lentisphaerota bacterium. Its description in RNAcentral is "bacterial SSU rRNA". It matches the Rfam family "Bacterial small subunit ribosomal RNA", at positions 882 to 1433 of the family's 1533-position model. The record is from RNAcentral. Lineage: Bacteria; Pseudomonadati; Lentisphaerota.